Non-coding RNA from Lolium perenne, 2081 nucleotides. Lineage: Eukaryota; Viridiplantae; Streptophyta; Magnoliopsida; Poales; Poaceae. The record is from RefSeq and is a predicted model, not a curated record.
GAGGCCGCUCGUUCACGUCGCCUUUCUCCCCUCGUUUUCCUGUGCGCGUGGGGUGGGUGAAAACCCUAGAUCAGCCCGUGGUGACCUCCCCCAAUCCCUCGUCUCCUCUCCCCCGCUGCCAAUCAGCCGCCUCUCUCAGUUUCUCUCCCCAGUGCGCCCCUCCUCCAGCUCUCCAAAUCGAAGCGACCGCAACACGCGCACGGCAGGAGGAGGUGCCACGGGUUGAUGCAGCGGACAACGGCCGCAGGGGGCGACGGCAGCCGCUGUUGGUGGACGACGGCGGCCUCAGGCGUUAUGGAGGAGGGAGGCGGCGUAGUGGGUAAGCAGCGACACGAGAAGGGCGAGCAGACGGCGCCGGACGGGACGGCCGCCGUGGCGGACGAGAGGAGGCGCUGCAGGAGCGGGUCCCGAAGGAGGGCACCGGCGGCGCCAGUGGAGUCCUGCUGGUGGCUUCCUUUCGUCUCCCCACGGCGGCAAUCACCGAGCGCACGGAGGCGGGUGGCGGCACAGAGAGUGGUGGCGACGUGCGCGCAGCCUUGAGGAGCUCAGACGGUGAGGCUUGAUGAGGAGGGGAGGAGCAGCGCUGUUCGUCGAGUCCUGGCGGCCAUGGAAGAGAUGAAGGAGGCGUGGAGUUGUCACGGAUGGAGCGUCGGCCGUCGCCGUCGACCUGUUCAGGCAAGUCGAUCCCCUCCGUUCUCCUCUCGAUCUCUCUCUCGUUGUGCACUCAGAGUCUGUUGAUGAUGAUUUGUUGCUCCUUUUGCAGCUUUGACAUGGAUUUAAGUCUAGAUCUUGUUGAGGUGAAAAUAUCUUCCCAGCCAGCCUCAGCAACUCGUGCACCCUGCAGCAAGACUGCUAGAGCUGCUGGCGAGCUUGACGGCCAGGAUCCGGUGGCCGGAGGCGCUCGGCGAAGGGCGCCGCCUGUGGUGCACGGGGACAGGGAGGGCGCCUCCGGUGGUGCACGGGGCCAUGGCGGCAAUGCAGUGUUGACCAUGGACGUGGUGCGCACGCGGCAGGAGGAUCACAUGGCCAGGGUAGCUGAUCUGCUGUCUCUCCCAUGGCCGAGGGAAGCUGCUUCGGGAGAGAGAAAGUCUCAAAAUUUGUGGUGUGCCCUGGUUUGAACCGAGAUUGGUUUAUUUUGGGUACAGAGAAUGCUGCAUUGGCAAAGAGUCCGUUUUUUCGUUGCAGCAAGGGCGAGAAGGCUGAGUUCAUCAGCCUGAUAUGGCGCUACCUCUGUGGGGAGGCAGAGCAUAUGGAGUGUUGUAAUAUUUCCAUACCGCAAUGAUGAGAUGGUGAUUCUAGACGAAUCCUCUAACUGGUUGAUUGGGUCACACAUACAUGUCAAAGUUGUGGACACUGUAGUGCUUGGUGGAACUGGCUGCAAAAAUGUGUCCCCUAAUAUUUUUUGUGGCCUGCAAUGUGGAUUGAGGUAUAUGCCGAUGAGAUUGGACCAGGGGGAUGCUAUCAGGCAGGCGUCUAUUUCUUAGAUGUUCUGGCUUAUAAAAUUAUGUUACUGAAGAAUAUUGGUGAAGAACUAUGAAGAUGCACCCUAUGUUGGCUUAUUUGGUUUGCCUCGGAUAAACGAGCACCAUUCUCACCUUUGAGAGCUGCAGCAGCCGUCCACAGAUGACACUUAUUUCCGAAAACAGUUUUGGUGUUCCAUCUUCUCCAAGCAAAGCCACAUGCCUUGGACCUGCUCCGCUCUAAUUUGGUAAUAGACGGCGGUUGGCAAGAGAGCACGUUAGGAUGGGGCAAAGGAGGGGCACUGGCUUACCAAAGAUAUGGAUGGUCUGGAUUUAGAAUGCCAAAAUCCUAAUUUUCUGUUUAACCCAUUUGCCUUAUUUAUAUGUAUUCUUUAGCUUCCCAGUUAUAUUAUCUAUUUAGCUUAGAUGCCAUCAGAGUAUUUGUUAAUUAUGGUCAAAGUGUUAUUUGUUAAGCGCUCCACCGUCUUUCUGUCUUCCUCAAUACAUCAUUUUAAUUUGACCAAGCAGAAGCACGCAGAUAGUGCAACAUGCAUGCCUGCUCUGUAAUCUUCAGGAAAAGAGUAGAGCUAAACAUAUUAUUGCAAUAUGGGCUAUUUAUUA